Long non-coding RNA from Pantherophis guttatus, 4290 nucleotides. RefSeq lists it as uncharacterized. The record is from RefSeq and is a predicted model, not a curated record. NCBI's taxonomy places the organism in Eukaryota, Metazoa, Chordata, Lepidosauria, Squamata, Colubridae.
ACCACUGAAUUAUAGGAUAGGCUUUUUUAAAUCAGUCAGUUGUAAAUCUUUUUUUUUUUCCUGAGAAGAAAGACUAACAAACAUUUAUGAAACCUAGGGAAAUACGGUCAAUAGAUUAUCUAAAAAUUAAUAAUAGGGAUUGGGUUAAGAAGCUGACCCUCAACCAUGAUAAACAUGCAAUUUAUAUGCAGUUUUCCAUUUUUUAAUUUUCUUAGAAGGCGGCUGCAAGGGUGUGUGUGUGGAAAAUUAUUAGAUAUCCAGUUGUGAGGCAAACAAAGUCUCAAAUAGUUUCUCCUUAACAAAUACAAGAUGAAAUAACACUCACUUUGAGUCUUUAUGCAUAGUGCUAGGCAUUAACAUUUGUUGUUUGUUUUCCAACAGGUUGAAGCAUAUUGUUACAGAACUUCAUGCUUGAAAUUGGGUGUUUUUUGUUCCUUCCCUCCUGCUGAAGGAAACAGAGGAGUUUGGUGGUUUAUAGGAAUUCUUCCUCCUUCCGUCUCCUUUGUCUCUAAGGGCAUGAAAGCUGCUGAACAAACACAGCAAUCCGAAAUAAUUAUACUCUGCUGAAAAGCUGGUGUGCUUCCCUCUAGCUGACCACAGUGCCAGCACCUUACAUAACUUGCAAUCUUUAACUGAACUGCAGCUUGUAUUCUGAAGGCUGAACUAAAACAAGGGCAGGCACCACACAGGCACCUCACUCUCCCUUGGGCCCUCGGACAGGUCUCCAACCCUGCAGGCCAAUAUGCUUGUAGAACUGGUACAUCCUAUGAAACACAGGACAAUUCUGCUCUCCAGACAUGCUGAUAUUGGUUUUCCUGUGGUCAGCAGCCCCAAUAUUCUGAGGGUUUUGCAGCAUUUCAGAAUGGAAGCUGUAAAAAUGCUGGACCUGGACAACUAGAUCUAUUCAGACAACAGAAAUUGUGUAUAACUUACUAAUAAGUUCAACAUUUCUCUUAUGUGAUGGUUAUUUUUCCAAAUAUAAAAUGCCUGUUGUUUACUUAUGUUGGAAGAAUAUCCUUCUGGGUUCAGUUCCAAGUGGGGGAAAAAACACUGGAUUCAUGGAAGUUGCUUGGAAAGGUUUAUUGAUGAACAGGAUCACAUGGCUUGAGAUCCUGGGCAAAGAGCAGAGAUGUUAAGAGUGCCUUGGUUUUAUUCCCUCUGUUGGGCUUUGAAUUUGAGCUUGUAUUCUGAUUGGUUGUCAGACUCCCAUGGGGCCAUGCAGGGGCAACUCUGUAGUCUGUCCUGAGUCCCAAGCUUGGUUGAGCCUUGCUGGAUGAUGAUGUAAACUUCCCAGGUGCCAUGCGGUGAGUUCUGUUGCUAGAUGGGUAGAGGGCUAAUCCUACCUUUGUUGGAUCUUGGGUGAGGGCAUUUGCCUAUGAAUACACCUAGCUAACUCUUUAUCUCUUAAAUGCUGAACAUCUGCUGUGGGCUAUUGAAGAGGGUGGGGGCUAUUGAGAGUGAGUCUGCUUCCUGCCUAAAAAACAUGUUUCUCCAUUUCUCAUCCAGGGAAAUAUAAUAUUCUGCCUUUUUAAUAUUUCUUAGAAUAUUUCAUUUUCCUAGGAGAGAGUGGGUGCUAACUUCCUACACUUAUUAGAAAUAUAUUCCACCUUGCUCCAGAAACUCAAACCAGAUUUAUUUGGAAUUUCCGUUCCCUCCCCUCCCCAAAACAACAAUUCUGGAUGUAGAAAAGAUUAAGACAGAAUAAACUGGCCUAAAAUAAUCCAGUGAGUUUCUCUGGCUCAAAGUAGAAACAAACUUGGUGCUAUUUACUCACAUGCCAACCCUUUAACCACUACACCUGAAUAAUUCUCAAAACCUAGUGUUUCAAAAAAAAAUCAUUUGUAUUACUGUAUUUCUUUCAAAAUCUCAAUUGCUCUUUUGCUUUUAGCAAAAGUGAAUAAGAUAGAUUCUCCAGCUGCUGCUGAAAAUGCAACUCCCACCAAGUCCAGCCAUCCUGACUAUCGUGGGGGAUCCCAGGUGUUACAAAGAGGUGGGAAGGAACGCCUCUCCUGCAAGCUCAAUCAGGAUUGCAACCCUUGUCUCCACUAUAAAGAGUCACGGUUAAUGUAUACCACUCUCUCCACAUCUAUGCCUUCCAGCUGAUGCAAAUAAAACUCACACCACCCCACCAGCUGACAAGCUCAGUACAGUAUCUUUAACCACUGAGCCAUUGUGCCGCCUACAUAUGUUGCUAAAAUAACAUAUACUUAAUUGGGCUCCCCUUGAAGACCACUUGGAAACUUCAGCUAAAUCUGGAAUGCCACAACCCUGAUAUUGGUUGACACUCAUCACCAUGAGCACCUCCUCCAUUGAAAUUGACCAGCCUGACCCAUGUAUCCUGGAGAAAACUGCUAAUGAUUCCCGAUUUCUACCAUAUAUAUAAAAACAAUGAAGCUACUAGGAUAACUUCCUUUGGAAAUCAGGUUGUUCUUAUUAGUUCUCCUAAAUGUACUGAAAAACUGGUUUGUAAAGUUUAUAUGAAUGGUGAGACUCUCAUAAUAAAUUGUUACUUACGUCGUAAGAGUACAUCACAUGAAGUAUUAGUGCCGCUCUAUAAAACCCUAGUAAGACCACACCUGGAAUACUGCAACCAAUUUUGGUCAACAUACUACAAAAGAGAUUUUGAGACUUUGGAAAAAGUUCAGAGAAGAGCAACUAAGAUGAUCAAAGGUCUGGAGACUAAACCAUAUGAAGAACGGCUGCAGGUUUUGGGUUGGGCUAGUCUAAAGAAAAGAAGAAUUAGGGGUGAUAUGAUGGCAUUAUUCUAGUAUUUGAGGGGCUGCCACAAAGAAGAGAGGGUCAAAUUAUUCUCAAAAGCACCAGAAGGCAGGACAAGAAACAAUGGUUGGAAACUAAUCAAAGAGAGAAGCAACCUGGAAUUAAGGAGAAACUUUCUAACAGUGAGGACAAUUAAUUAAUGAAACAGCUUGCCUUCAAAAAUCAUGGGUGCUCCAUCACUGGAAGUUUUUAAGAAGAGACUAGACAGUCACUUAUCUGAAAUGGUAUAGGUUCUCCUGCUUGAGCAGGGGGCUGGACUAGAAGACCUCCAGAGUCCUUUCCAAAUCUGUUCUGUUCUGUUCUAGUCUAGUCUAGUCUGUUUUUAUGUUUAUUAAUAGGAUUAAUAUAGGUAUUAGGAAGUGCUGUUGUUUUAUUAUUCUAAAGUGCUGGGAGUCCAUUAACUGUAAAAGAUAUAAAUUUUGAGAAAUAAAAAAAAAAGAUAGCUGUCAUUUCUCCCCAUAAUAUUCUUAAAGUAAAAUGGACCUGCUUUUUCAGUCGAUCACUUUCUCUGGGUAUGAAACUAGCGAAGGCCUACAUUAUGGUCAUAGUCUCAUUCUUUUGUAGCAAAGACUCCAGUCCAAUGACUAUUGAGGGUGGGAUCUUGAGUGGAGGCAGAGAGAAAUACCCCAAGAGCUCAAAAAGAGUACGUUAUAAAGCAUGUCCUCUUUUGUCUUUUUCCAAUCCAGCUUUGUUUUUUUCCCUCCCUCCAAAACAAGAGAAAGAUUAUUAUUGCCUUCAAGGCAAGCUAUUAUAAAUACAUAAUGGGCAAUGUCUUUGUCUUUUUUUUUUUUCUUGUAACCAUUGUGAGAGAAAGGGUAAACUAUCCUCCUCUCUUUGCCCAGAAGCCUAGUUUGGAAAAGAGCCAUCUCUCAACAUGGCCUCCUUUUUCAUGUGGUGGGCCAUUGUUAGGAUUGUCAUUAUCUCCAUUGGAGAAAUUCCAUGCAAUAAUGGCUGCUUAUAUAAUUGCUUAUGUAACAAGUGGCUGAAAAAGACAGAAAACAAACAUGGGGAGAAAAAAUUGGAAGGAAGGAAGGAAGGAAGGAAGGAAGGAAGGAAGGAAGGAAGGAAGGGCUAUACUGUUGUUAUUUGCUGAAAUGAUGGGGCAACUUUACUUUCUUAUGAGGAAAAGAUUUUAAGGUACUUUAAUAUUCUUAGAGCAGGAUAUGAAAGAAGGGCUUAAUGAACAUUCUUAUCAUCAGCACUUUCUAUAAGCUAAUGUUCAUUCUAUUAUCACCAUUAAAAACAGUAGCAACACUUUCAUUAUGCUAUAGCAGCAACAACAAAACAACAACAACAAUAAUACAUUCUGAAUGCUAAAGGUAUCAUUGGAAUAUGCCUAGAAGAGCUAUGGAUUAUGACCUGGGACAGGUCAAGAUGGAAAGCAUGCAGCCUUCGAAAGUUGGGCCUAGUUUGAUAGUAUGUAACUAUUAUUGUUUGGUGCUUAUCUCUCUCAUGCAUGAAUGCAACUAAAUUAUCUCUCCUAAAUAAACAGCAGAAUUCUACUUGUCUCUA